GACGAACGCGGGCGGCGUGCUUAACACAUGCAAGUCGAACGCUGAAGCCUAGCUUGCUGGGUGGAUGAGUGGCGAACGGAUGAGUAACACGUGAGUAACCUGCCCUCUUCUUUGGGAUAACGCCCGGAAACGGGUGCUAAUACUGGAUAUUCACUGAUCUUCGCAUGGGGGUUGGUGGAAAGGUUUUUUCUGGUGGGGGAUGGGCUCGCGGCCUAUCAGCUUGUUGGUGGGGUGAUGGCCUACCAAGGCUUUGACGGGUAGCCGGCCUGAGAGGGUGACCGGUCACAUUGGGACUGAGAUACGGCCCAGACUCCUACGGGAGGCAGCAGUGGGGAAUAUUGCACAAUGGGCGAAAGCCUGAUGCAGCGACGCCGCGUGAGGGAUGGAGGCCUUCGGGUUGUAAACCUCUUUCGCUCAUGGUCAAGCCGCAGCUUUGGGUUGUGGUGAGGGUAGUGGGUAAAGAAGCGCCGGCUAACUACGUGCCAGCAGCCGCGGUAAUACGUAGGGCGCGAGCGUUGUCCGGAAUUAUUGGGCGUAAAGGGCUUGUAGGCGGUUGGUCGCGUCUGCCGUGAAAUCCUCUGGCUUAACUGGGGGCGUGCGGUGGGUACGGGCUGACUUGAGUGCGGUAGGGGAGACUGGAACUCCUGGUGUAGCGGUGGAAUGCGCAGAUAUCAGGAAGAACACCGGUGGCGAAGGCGGGUCUCUGGGCCGUUACUGACGCUGAGGAGCGAAAGCGUGGGGAGCGAACAGG
This 751-nucleotide ribosomal RNA is filed under the name uncultured Actinomyces sp. Its description in RNAcentral is "bacterial SSU rRNA". It matches the Rfam family "Bacterial small subunit ribosomal RNA", at positions 28 to 776 of the family's 1533-position model. The record is from RNAcentral. Lineage: Bacteria; Bacillati; Actinomycetota; Actinomycetes; Actinomycetales; Actinomycetaceae.